ACGUCCUUAGCUUAGCCGGAUAGAGCAACGGCCUUCUAAGCCGUAGGUCACAGGUUCAAAUCCUGUAGGACGUG
Molecule: transfer RNA, 74 nt
Filed under: Candidatus Providencia siddallii
Lineage: Bacteria; Pseudomonadati; Pseudomonadota; Gammaproteobacteria; Enterobacterales; Morganellaceae
Description: transfer RNA Arginine
Rfam family: tRNA
About the family: Transfer RNA (tRNA) molecules are approximately 80 nucleotides in length. Their secondary structure includes four short double-helical elements and three loops (D, anti-codon, and T loops). Further hydrogen bonds mediate the characteristic L-shaped molecular structure. tRNAs have two regions of fundamental functional importance: the anti-codon, which is responsible for specific mRNA codon recognition, and the 3' end, to which the tRNAs corresponding amino acid is attached (by aminoacyl-tRNA synthetases). tRNAs cope with the degeneracy of the genetic code in two manners: having more than one tRNA (with a specific anti-codon) for a particular amino acid; and 'wobble' base-pairing, i.e. permitting non-standard base-pairing at the 3rd anti-codon position.
Source: RNAcentral